AGCAGCCGCGGUAAUUCCAGCUCCAGUAGCGUAUAUUAAAGUUGUUGCAGUUAAAAAGCUGUAGUUGAAUUUCGGGGUCAGUAGGUCGGUCUUGCCAAUGAUAUGAACUGGUUUUACUGAUUCCUCCCUCUUGAAGAACAGUAAUGCCAUUAAUUUGGUGUUGCAGGGAAUCAGGAGUGUUACUUUGAAAAAAUAAGAGUGUUUAAAGCAGGCUUUAGCUUGAAUACAUCAGCAUGGAAUAAUGAAAUAGGACGUUUGAUCCUAUUUUGUUGGUUUCUAGGAUUGACGUAAUGAUUAAUAGGGAUAGUUGGGGGCAUUAGUAUUCAAUUGUCAGAGGUGAAAUUCUUGGAUUUAUUGAAGACUAACUACUGCGAAAGCAUUUGCCAAGGAUGUUUUCAUUAAUCAAGAACGAAAGUUAGGGGAUCGAAGACGAUCAGAUACCGUCGUAGUGUUAACCAUAAACUAUGCCGACUAGGGAUCGGAUGAUGUUAAUUUUUUAAUGACUCAUUAGGCGCCUUACG
This 521-nucleotide ribosomal RNA is filed under the name uncultured Glomeromycotina. Its description in RNAcentral is "SSU rRNA". It matches the Rfam family "Eukaryotic small subunit ribosomal RNA", at positions 569 to 1092 of the family's 1831-position model. The record is from RNAcentral. Lineage: Eukaryota; Fungi; Glomeromycota.